Molecule: non-coding RNA, 4283 nt
Organism: Meleagris gallopavo (turkey)
Lineage: Eukaryota; Metazoa; Chordata; Aves; Galliformes; Phasianidae
Source: RefSeq, a predicted model, not a curated record
CAGCUGUCUGCGUGCCUUGAGCGCUCUGAGCCUCCUUUGGGGCACCUGGGAUGUCUGUGGUUGGAUGAGAUAUUCGAAUUUUGUGGGGAAAAGAAAACUUCUGCAGAUGUUCUCACCUGUUUUUCCUGAACCUUGUGAGCAGUGCAUCUCUCUGAGGAAGAGCCCUGGCUCGAUACCUGCAUUAAGGGGUAGCAACACUCACUGAUGGGAACAGAGCUCUGAGUCUAACAGGAGCGGCUGCAGCGGGAGUUGUCCUUCCUGCUGCCCUGAGCUGCAGCUGGACCUCGUUGCUUGUAUCAUCGACUGCAGCAGAUGCGUCGUCUUGCUCUGGGUUCCAUCACACAGUGAAGUGGAAGCGGCACAGAGCAGCCCUGCAUCACCUCCUGGCAACCAAAGCCCUCGCUUGGCAGAUUCUGUGGAAAGCAUCAGGCCAGGCAAAAACAAUGGAUACGGAGUGAGAGGUUUCGCGUUUGUCACUGGCAUUAAAUCGUGGGUGCCUGAUGAAUGAACGUUGUACAGACAUUGAGGGCAAUAGCUAACUCCCUUACGUGGAUGAUUAAGGAAAUAAUUGGAGCAGGGAGGUAGAGAAAUGCAAGUCCAAAGAGCCUAUUAAAGUCGAGAUAGAGUGAGCAACUCCUUGUGAUCGAUCUAAACUCGGGGGAAAAAAACUACUGAGGUACUCUGUUCAUCCAAGCCCCAGGUUUCCUAGGAGAUGGAAGACAGUUCAGAUAUGGCCAACGACUGGGCUCUUAGUGCUCAGCUAAAAUAACUUUCCCUGCCAGUCCCCAGAUGCCCCGGGCUUCUCCUCAGCUCCGCGAUAAUGAACAGACACCCAGCAGACAAGCAGGCAGCGCUGCUCCUGGAGGUGGCUCAGUGCGUCGGAUCCAGGUGUGACCUGAGAUUCAAUUACAGAACUGUGGAAGCUUAGGGGGAAAGCUGUGUGGUAUGCAACUUCUUUGGCAUGCUCUCUUUUGCUUUAAUCUCUCCAAGCUGGUGAGUCUGUGGAGAUCUUAAUUAAAGUCAGCGCAAGUCGUUCUGAAGACAGAGCCCUGUGGAGUGCUGGAUCUGCUGCUCAGUCUGGCCCAUGAGCCGCUCUCCUCUCCAUGCGCUUUCCUCCGCUUCCUGUGACCGAUCCUUGGAGAUGGCAGUGGAAUCAAAACAUGAAUUAACUCCUGGAUGGCCUCCAGCAGAGCAGGGUCUGUGCCAGGCAUUAGGGCCAGGCGUCAGGGUGCCACGUGCAGGCUGUGCCUGCCCCGUGGCUGAGGGAGAAGGCUGCAUCCGUCAGAAUCCAUCCUCAGUGCCCGUGGGCAGCUGGCUGCAGCCAGCCUCAGCCCUAGUGGAGCCUCUGGCUUUGGGAGAUGCAAUGCAAGCUCUGCCUGCGGGGCUCUGUGUGCCCGGAUCACUGUUCCGAGGCCUCGAGCAAAGCAAGAGCUGUAAGAGAGGGAAUGUGACCUCAGGAGAGUGAUUAAUAAUAAAAGCGAAGGCAGACAGCCCUGUGAUAGGGCAGGGAACUGGAGAUGGCAGCGUGUGGAGGGCGGCAGCUCAUGUUUGAGAGAAAGCAAAACCUGCAGACAUAGAAAGGAUUUAGAGGGGCACUGUGAUAGCAGUGAGGCUUCUCCAACAUUGUCAGCAAAAAGUGCCUCAGACACAAAAGCAGAGGCACGUUUCCCCUCCCUGUACUGCUUUUCUGCUCCUCUGCCAGCACCAGCCACUAAAUUAUCCCACUCCCUCCUGUUACUGGUUAUUGAGUGUUUGGAUAAGAUGGAAUCAAAUUAUAUGCAUGUUCAAAGAGGGAAGAUAAAACCAGACUGCAGCAUAUUUUAUGGCUUUUAUAAAAUUUUGAUGUAUGUUGUUGGAAUAGAUGGGAAGCCACCACCACAGCUUGAGGGCAGAGCUCCUCUUUGAGAACCUCACCGCUGAAUUAAUGCAAGCAAAUAGUAGACAGCAACCAUGUGUGGAUGAGAUUGGAAAAAUAAAUGUUUUUUUUUUAUGCUUGGACUGCCAAGGAAGGGAGGCCCCUGAUCACAAAGUCCUGAUUUUGGCACAGCUCUAAGGUUUUACCUUUGGUGUGUAGUUCGAGUAUGAACAGUUUCUCAUCGACAACUGGAAAGGCAGAGAAAUGGGGAAGAGCAGCACUGGGCAGCAAAGCAAGCAGCUCAGCUGUGUGGCAUUUGGGUGUGCGUGCAGGUUCUUAAGUGUAAGCUUAAUACGUGCUUCUUGUAGAACACGGUUUUCCUUUGGGACUGACGCUGCCUUAAUUCUGUUGUCAGCUGUCAGCUGUAAUUAUUUUGUCUGUCCGUCUGCCCAGAGAUCUCCUGGAGCACCAGGUCGGAACGGAGGAGCACCCUUGCACUUUGAGGCAGUUAUUUAUGGCCUAGGAUUCAUCCGAGUAGAGAAGCCCCCCAGAAUGCCAAUUCUUCUCGUGUUACUCAGCCCAAACAAGCAGGAGGGCAGGACAAGGCUGCUCUGUCAGGAGUGUGCUGGUGAGCUCUGCUCGGGGGCAGCCGUACCCCGCAGGCUGGGCGCAGCUCUGUGUGCAGCUGUGUCCUGCCUGGGUGAGCAGCUGAUACACCAAACACGAACCCACAGCUGCAUGCUAAGAGCUUCCCAGUGAAUGAGUCUGAUUUCUUUUAUGGAUUCAGCAUUAAUCCGCUGGUGUUAUUUACAUAUCUGUGUGAUGUGACAUGGCUUUGAGUCUAGCAUGACUCCUUUCAUUAAAAGCCUACAAUUACCUCCAGAUAACCUUCUUUAUUCCAUCCUUUUCUUCAUGACUUUGACAUUCUUGUCUGGCGUGCUUCAAGCUUCACUUGGGUUUUGAGGAAACAAGUCUUUGUGCCUCUGUGUAAUGACUGCAGCAUAUUAGUAUUCCACGUACGUGCACCAGUUUGCAGCUGUAUCAUUACAGGUAGUGUCGAAUAAAAACCCUUUGACUCAUUGCAACCUUGCAGGCAUUUUGUUCCUCACAGCUGGUCUCCUGUCCUUAACAGCUCCAUGUGAGGAACGCUCUUCUCACGCUGUGGUCUGCAGCCUUUAUUUGUGUCGUGGCAGGCUGGUGCCAUCGGGCUGCUGGGAUCUCAAGGCUGGCAAACUGCGGCUUCCUGCGCUGCUCCCCAAGUGCUCGUGUGUAAUAACUCAAUCUCCAGCACGUCGUGGGGAAUAUAUUUUGUGCCUAAUGAGAUACAUAUGUCCAAUAUUCAAUGUACCUGAGUAUCAUCCUACUUAAACCACUUUGGGCACCAUGAGGAAUAAAAUCAUCAUAUUUUGCGUCUCUACUGUAAAUUGCCUGGGCACCAACCUAUAAACAGGCAUUAAUGUAUCUAAUGUGAGUGCUUGCAUCUUGUCAUUAUACGUGCACUUAUUCCUACACAAUGUGUGCACGUUCAGUUGUGCUGUUGUUCUAAGAAAUAGUACUGUUAUGGGCUCAUACAGAUUUGUUAAGCUGCUCCUUUCAGGAAAACAACUGGAAAUAAAAUGUUUGAGGAUGUGUUCAAACUCCUGGAAAGCAACAAGAGCUACAACUGCAUUGCAGUCUGGAGGCAGCAGAAGAGCACGUGCAUGAUUUCUCUUAUACUGACACGUAUGUGAGCCACCUCAUCAGCUCUGCGAGAGUUUUGAAGAUAGAUUUCUUCUGAAUGUAUUUCCAACUCUAAGCUAACGGUGCAGCUGUCUGCAUCAUCUCCAUCCCUGUAGGAGAAAUGUGACUGCUUCCAUGUGAGGUUAGUGGGAAUUGUGGGGAUUUGCCACAUUACAUUAUGCAACUCUUGUGGUGGUUUUAAUGAAUAGAUUCCAGAGAAAGCUGUUGUUAAUUAAGCUGCAAUAUGGCUUGGUCAGCUAGCAAUGAGGAGAUGCUAACUGGAGCUGAAGGACCCAUCUGUGGAGCUCUUUCAGAACCGCUGCUCAGUUGUCAUUGUGCAGCAGAGGGAAUCUUUGGCAGCAAUUCAGUGCAUUCCUGUGCCAGAAAGGUGCCUUUGGAAGACAGAAAUAAAUGGGAAGCAUGGGGAUGCAUUGUGAUGCUUGCCACAGGUAGGUAGCAUGGGGACAAGGCACAGUACUGUGUAUCAGUCUUAGGUGUGAAUAGAUGAAAAGAUUCAAGCAUAUGGUAAGCUAUUCUCCAUAUGAAUAACAGCUUCUAAUUGGCUCGACACUUCUCUAAUAACCUUGGCAGCCUCUUUCUUCAUAAUUAACGUCUUCAUUCAGCUGCUUGGUAAGGUGCAGUGUGUAUGUUUGGGCUCAGAGCAGCUCAGCCGUGCAGUCAGCCUGGGGUGAGGUCAGUGCAGCCUGCA